CCUGCGGGUGGCUGCAGUGGGGAAUAUUGGACAAUGGGCGAAAGCCUGAUCCAGCCAUGCCGCGUGUGUGAAGAAGGCCUUCGGGUUGUAAAGCACUUUCAGUGGGGAAGAAAGCCUUGGGGCUAAUACCCUCGAGGAAGGACAUCACCCACAGAAGAAGCACCGGCUAACUCCGUGCCAGCAGCCGCGGUAAUACGGAGGGUGCGAGCGUUAAUCGGAAUUACUGGGCGUAAAGCGCGCGUAGGCGGUCUGAUAAGCCGGUUGUGAAAGCCCCGGGCUCAACCUGGGAACGGCAUCCGGAACUGUCAGGCUAGAGUGCAGGAGAGGAAGGUAGAAUUCCCGGUGUAGCAGUGAAAUGCGUAGAGAUCGGGAGGAAUACCAGUGGCGAAGGCGGCCUUCUGGACUGACACUGACGCUGAGGUGCGAAAGCGUGGGUAGCAAACAGGAUUAGAUACCCUAGUAGUC
RNAcentral lists this ribosomal RNA (465 nucleotides) under Vreelandella stevensii. RNAcentral describes it as "partial 16S ribosomal RNA". It matches the Rfam family "Bacterial small subunit ribosomal RNA", at positions 338 to 795 of the family's 1533-position model. The record is from RNAcentral. Lineage: Bacteria; Pseudomonadati; Pseudomonadota; Gammaproteobacteria; Oceanospirillales; Halomonadaceae.